RNAcentral lists this ribosomal RNA (1392 nucleotides) under Triticum aestivum (bread wheat). Its description in RNAcentral is "partial small subunit ribosomal RNA". Lineage: Eukaryota; Viridiplantae; Streptophyta; Magnoliopsida; Poales; Poaceae. The record is from RNAcentral.
AUGGAGCUGGCGACGAUGGUGACGCUGACGCUGUUGGCCCUCUCGGCGGCGACGCUGGCGCGGCUGCUGGUGGAGCGGGCGCGGAGGCGGCGGUGCUAUCUGCUGGACUACGUGUGCUACAAGGGGACGGACGACCGCAAGCUCCCCACGGAUCUGUGCGGCGAGAUCAUCCAGCGGAACAAGCUGCUGGGGCUGGAGGAGUACAAGUUCCUGCUCAAGGUCAUCGUCAACUCCGGCAUCGGCGAGGACACGUACGGCCCGCGCAACAUCAUCGCGGGGGGCGACGCGAGCCCCGACCGCGUCGCCGAGGGCAUGGAGGAGAUGGACGAGACGUUCCACGCCGUGCUCGACGAGCUGUUCGCCAGGUCGGCCGCGCCGGGCGGGCUGGGCCUGCGCCCCGCCGACGUGGACCUGCUCGUCGUCAACGUGUCCAUGUUCUCCCCGGCGCCGUCCCUGUCGGCGAGGGUGGUGCGCCGCUACGGCCUCCGGGAGGACGUGAAGGUGUUCAACCUCACCGGCAUGGGCUGCAGCGCCACCCUCAUCGCCCUCGACCUCGCCAACAACUUCUUCAGAACGCACGCGAACAAGGUGGCACUGGUGAUGACGUCGGAGUCGAUCGCGCCCAACUGGUACCCGGGGAACAGGCGCUCCUUCAUGCUGGGGAACUGCCUCUUCCGCUCCGGCGGCUGCGCCUACUUCCUCACCAACUCGCCGCGGCUGCGCCCCCACGCCAAGCUGCGGCUCCGCCACGUCGUGCGCACGCACACGGGCGCCUCCGACGAGGCCUACAACUGCGCGCUCCAGAUGGAGGACGACGCCGGCCGCCCCGGCUUCCACCUCGGGAAGGAACUCCCCCGCGCCGCCGUGCACGCCUUCGUCAAGAACCUCCGCGUGCUGUCGCCCCGCGUGCUCCCGCUCCCGGAGCUCCUCCGCCUCGCCUACGCCACGCUCUCGGCGCGCUUCCUCACGCGCACCAACAAGAAGAAGCCGUCCUCGGCGCUCACCAUCCGGAUGAAGGCCGGGGUGGACCACUUCUGCGUGCACACCGGCGGCGCCGCCGUCAUCGACGGCGUCGGCAAGGGGCUCACCCUCACGGAGCACGACAUCGAGCCGUCGCGCAUGACGCUGCACCGCUUCGGCAACACCUCGGCCAGCAGCGUCUGGUACGUGCUGUCCUACAUGGAGGCCAAGAAGCGGCUCAACAAGGGCGACCGCGUGCUCAUGCUCACCUUCGGCGCCGGGUUCAAGUGCAACAGCUGCGUCUGGACGGUGGAGAGGCCCUCCGCCGACGCCGGCGUGUGGGCGGACUGCAUCCACGAGUACCCGCCCAAGGAGAUCAGGAACCCAUUCAUGGAGAAGUACGGCUUCGUCAAGGACAUGAGCGCCUUGUGA